Molecule: ribosomal RNA, 35 nt
Filed under: Acer macrophyllum (big-leaf maple)
Lineage: Eukaryota; Viridiplantae; Streptophyta; Magnoliopsida; Sapindales; Sapindaceae
Description: partial 25S ribosomal RNA
Source: RNAcentral
GCGACGCCAGGUCAGGCGGGAUUACCCGCUGAGUU